Ruditapes philippinarum (Manila clam) is the source of this 6038-nucleotide long non-coding RNA. RefSeq lists it as uncharacterized. Lineage: Eukaryota; Metazoa; Mollusca; Bivalvia; Venerida; Veneridae. The transcript has 2 exons. The record is from RefSeq and is a predicted model, not a curated record.
CGUAUUUUCAGCCGAAAAAAAUCGACCCGAAAAUAAUUGUGAAGUUUAUAAUCAAUGAAAUAAUUAGCGCUGCCAUGUUUGAGCAACAGAAACAUGUGUCAGCCUCAGAUAAAACGUAUGCUGUUUGGAAAGACCUGUUCCCGUGGAUUGUCAUAAAUACAGAAGACCCGUCACAGGUUAAUCUUAAAUGUUCAUUAUGUAUAAAAUUUCAAAUGAAAAAUGCAUUAACUACAACUGGUUCUAGCAAUAUUCAAUAAUCAACCGUUGAGAGACACUGCGAAUCUGCGGACCACCAGACUGCUACUAAAAUGUCAUUGAAAUUAGAAAGUUCUAAAAAAGAUCCUACGCUAUUAGAUCAAGAUUUAGAAGAGAUAAAAAACUGUAUAUUGUUGGAUUCAGACAUUUUUGAUAAGAUCGGUUUACUCUCUCAUGAAUAAUGAAUUACCAAUUGAAAAACUUGAUGCAAUUUUGGAACUUCAACGGUUAAAUUCAUUAAAUAUGCCAUACAGAAAUUUGAGCUGGACUACUAUUACAGAAAUUCAAAAUGUAAUUGCUGCUGGUUUAAAGAAAAAACUUGUUGUGGUGUUGGGGUACAGGUUCAAGCAAAAUUUGCCCCAUUUGUAAUACAAACUCAUUGUAUAGCACACAGAUUAAAUUUGGCAGUAACUGACUCUAUUAAACAAAUUGAACCACUAAAGAAACUGAAAGAAAAAUUUGCAAACCUUUACCAUUUCAUAUCUGCAUCAGGAAAUAGGACAUUUGCCUUAAAACAAAUGCAGGGGUUGUUAGAUGAGCCUAAGCUGUCUGUUAAAGAACCAUAUUCCAUUCGUUGGCUGGGUCUUAAAAAUGCUGUUGAAGCCGUCUAUGAAUCAUAUGGAGCCAUACUUGCAACAUUGUCUAGCAUGGCCGAUGAAAAUUCUACAGCUAAAGGUUUAUACAAGUACUUUGCUUCAUAUAAAACGGCAUUACUUUUAGCUUUCAUGUUGGACUUUCAUACUAUCCUGGGUGUCCUAUGUUGUGAACUGCAGGCAGAGAACCUUAUUUUUAGUGAUGUUCCUCCCCUAAUAGACAGUACUGUGGAGAAGAUUGAGUCAAUGAAAUCAGAAGAAGGUGAUGGAUUAGUAGAGAUGAAAAACAGCAUUGUAGUGAAAGAUGAAAAGGCCUUUUAUAAAGGAGAUGAGCUUAAAUAUUAUAGCAAAGAUAUAGAAUCACAGAUUUCAAAUGUUAAAAAUAAUUAUUUGGAUAACUUGGCCAAUAAUAUUAGAAGAAGACUAAAAAAGAAUGAUAGUGACACUUUAAUAUACUUGAGUCAAGUCUUAGAACCAUCAACAGUAUGUCAUCUUCCUGCUGAUACCAGUAAGAGUGCUCUAGAAUGUUUGGGAAAUCAGUUUGGAGUUGAAAAAACAGUGAAACAAGUGGAAGGAGAUCUGAUUAUAGGUAUUUCAAAUUGACAUUUAACUGAUGUAAACUUUUUCUUAUUUAAAACAAUAAAAACUUAACUGAUAUAAACAUGUUUACUUGCAAAACAACAUUGUCCAAAAAAAUUAAACACAAAGUUUAUAUAUUUAUUUUUAAAGAAUCUGAUAUCUAGGACUUUCAAAAUAUAUUAUAAUGUCACUAUAUUGCUUCCUGGUUUAUUUAAAUAAUAACAUAUUGCAUUUUAUAUUACAGGGACAACAGAGACUGUCACUCAUGUUGAGCCAUUAUUAGUGGAAGGAGUGGAAAGGGGUUUAUGGGAUGGUAAAAGGCACAUAUAGGAACAUUUCCCUCAGUGACCUGUGCCAAAGAUUAUGUGUGAAGCACAGUCUGACAUAUCCAAACAUGGCUAAGUUAGCUAAAAUAGCCUUAUGCAUGGAGAUUUCAAGCACAGAGUGUGAGCGCUCAUUCAGCACUCAAAACAGACUUAAGAGUAAAUUAAGGUCAUCACUCAAAGAGAUUUCACUUGAAUCACUGCUGAGGGUUAGCCUUUAUGGAGAGCCAGUCUCAGAGUAUGACCCUGUACCAGACACAAGACAGUGGUUGGUCAAGAAUCGCAGAAGGAAGCGCCUGAUGCAAGAUUAUAAACCAAGAGAGUCCAAAAAGCAAAAGAAAUGACUGACAUAUCUUGUAUAAUGCAGUAAACAUGGAAGCAUAAUAAAUGUUUUACUCUUUUCCAUACAUUUUAAGGAGUAAAAAUACUCCAGCCAAAUUUCAGAUUUCAAGUUUUACUCAUUCACAAAAAAAUCAAUGAGUAAAUACUCAUUGCCCUAAAAAAUUAUCUGGAGCCCUGUGUCCAAAUGGUUCUGGUAUGUUACAUAAGUAGGUCAUAGGGCCAGAAAAGGAAAUUAUAAAAAGCAAAUUUAAAAAAUGUUCUUGUCAAAAUGUACAAGGUCCAGAGCUUUGAUAUUUGGUAUAUGACAUCAUCUAUAGGUCCUCUACCAAACUUGUUCAAAUUUUGUCCCUAGUGUCAAUAAAAUUUUAUCCCUUGUGUCAAAAUUGGCCUUGCCCUGUGAGUCAUAGGUUUCCAUUAUUGCUCCUUGCUUUUUGUGUUUACUAUUUUUUUUUGUCCAUGGGCCCGUAUUUUAUCAAUUAAUCCCUUCGAUUUACAGAUAAAAAUAAAUUCGCAUUCAAUAACUCCUUCCGAUUAUUAUAUUGGUUCCCCCUUCGGUGAUUUGCAGCAUGUCAUAUUAAUGAAUGAGAACCGGAAAGCAGUUCUGCUGUACAUGAAUUCGAAAGCUAUAAAUAGCUAUAAAUGUUCUGAUUUUUGACACUUAGGCUAUAAAUUUGAUAUUUCCCUUUUUUAGUUGUACAUGAAAUUAUAAUUUGUUACAUUUUGAAUUACAUUUACACACAGCAUAUCGAGUAUACUAUUAGUGAUCGAAUUUGUCAAUAUAAAGAUUUCAGGCAUAAGACUUUAAUAAUUUUGCUUUUGAUAAUUAUUCUUAAUUUAUAUUCAUGAAACUAAAUGUUUAAUAAUAACAUGUUGAUAUAUUGGUUGUUUUGAAAUUAUUACAACUUUAGUAUAUAAGAUUACAUUUCAUUGGUAUUGUUGGUAAUGCACGGAGGUAAGUUAUCAACUUUUUGUGCUUCAAAAUUAACUCUUUUAAGGGCAUGACUGGUGGCAUGUCUGGUGUCCGUACUCAACAGCGAAAACUGCAUUUUGUGCCCGUACGGGCGGAUAGACACUCAUUAAGCAUAGACUAUAGAUAGAUAGAUCGCAUCAUUGGUAACAACAGAAACUUUGAUCUGCAGUUUGAAGAUGAGGUGUAUUGUUAGCUCGACUUUUUUUUUUGAAAAAAAAAGUAGAGGUAUUGUUAUAGUCAGGUCGGCGUUGCCGUUGCCAUUCCCGUCCGCAAACUUGUACCUGGAUCAUAACUUUUUUAUUUCUUGGUGUAUUGUCUUCAUACUUGGCCACAACAACCCUUGGGACAAGACCUUUCAGUAGACCACACUAACCUUGACCUUCAUCCAUAAAUGACCUUGACCUUCAAGGUUAAAAGUCCAAUUUUUGCUUGUUCAUGCUGUUAUUGGCUGUAACUUUGUUAUUUUUGAAUGGAUUGUCUUCAAACUUGAACAUAAUAAUCUUCAAGGAUAUCCCUUAAAAAUAACCCGCCAGACCUUGACCUUCACUCAUAAAUGACCUUGACUUUGAAGGUCAAAUUAUUGAAAUUUUCAUUUUUUUGGCCAUUAUUGGCUGUAACUUUGUUAUUUUUGAAUGGAUUGUCUUGAAACUUGAACAUAAUAAUCUUCAAAGAUAACUGUUAAAAAUAUACCGAAAGACCUUGACCUUCACUCAUUAAUGACAUUGUCUUUGAAGGUCAAAUUAUUGAAAUUUUCAUUGUUUUGGCGGUAACUGACUGUAACUUUGCUAUUAUUGAAGGGAUCAACUUCAUAGUAUAACAGAACAUUCUUAAGGACCAGACCUUGUUGUUUAUCAAACUCAAAUUUGCUUGGGCUCUUUAAUGACCUUGACCUUGAAGGUUAAAUUACUGAAUUUUCUCAGAUUUGUGCAUUAAAUAACCAUAAUUAUAUAUUUAUUGGUGUGUGUGUGUGUAUACAUAUAUAUUUACAACAACAACAACAACAAGAAUUGCGUAAUGUUUCUAUUUAUAGACUUGCGUCAUUGUUUCUAUUUAUAGAAUUGUGUCAUUGUUUCUAUUUAUAGAAUUGCGCCAUUGUUUCUAUUUAUAGAAUUGCGUCAUUGUUUCUAUUUUUAGAAAUUGCGUCAUUGUUUUUAUACCCCCGCACAACAAAGUUGUAAGGGGGGUAUACUGGAAUCAGCUUGUCCGUCCGGCCGUCCGCCCGUCGGGCGUCUGUCGGUUUUUUCUUGUCCGCCCAAUAACUUAAGAUUCCUUUGACCCACAGUCUUCAUAUUUGGCAUGGAGGUUAGUCAUGAUGAGUAGAUGACCCCUAUUGAUUUUGAGGUAGCCAGGUCAAAGGUCAAGGUCACAGGGGCCUUGACUUCAAAAAGCUUGUCCGCCCAAUAACUUAAGAUUCCUUUGACCCACAGUCUUCAUAUUUGGCAUGGAGGUUAGUCAUGACGAGUAGAUGACCCCUAUUGAUUUUGAGGUCACUGGGUCAAAGGUCAAGGUCACAGGGGCCUUUACUUCAAAAAUCUUGUCUGCCCAAUAACUUAAGAUUCCUUUUGACCCACAGUCUUCAUAUUUGGCAUGGAGGAUAGUCAUGACGAGUAGAUGACCCCUAUUGAUUUUGAGGUCACCAGGUCAAAGGUCAAGUUCACAGGGGCCUUGACUGCAAAAACCUUGUCCGCCCAAUAACAUAAGAUUCCUUUGACCCACAGUCUUCAUAUUUGGCAUGGAGGUUAGUCAUGACAAGUAGAUGACCCCUUUUUAUUUUGAGGCAACCAGGUCAAAGGUCAAGGUCACGGGGGCAUUGACUAUAAAAAGCUUGUCCACCCAAUAACUUAAGAUUCCUUUGACCCACAGUCUUCCAAUUUGGCAUGAAGGUUAGUCAUGAUGAGUAGAUGACCCCUAUUGAUUUUGAGGUCACCAGGUCAAAGGUCAAGGUCACAGGGGCCUUGACUUCGAAAAGCUUGUCCGCCCAAUAACUUAAGAAACCUUUGUCCUACAGUCUUUAUAUUUUGCAUGGAGGCUAGUCAUGAUUAGUAGAUGACCCCUAUUGAUUUUGAGGUCACUGGGUCAAAGGUCAAGGUCACAGGGACUUUGACAUUAAAAAGUUUGUCCGCCAAAUAAAUUAAGAAACCUUUGAUCCAUAGUCUUCAUAUUUGGCAUGGAGGUUAGUCAUGAUUAGUAGAUGACCCCUAUUGAUUUUAAGUUGACUGGGUCAAAGGUCAAGGUCACAGGGGCCUUGACUAUAAAAAGCUUGUCUGCCCCAUAACUUAAGAUUCCUUUCACCCACAGUCUUCAUAUUUGGCAUGGAGGUUAGUCAUGAUUAGUAGAUGACCCCUUUUGAUUUUGAUGUCACUGGGUCAAAGGUCAAGGUCACAGGGGCCUUGAUUUCGAAUAGUUUCUCGGCCCAAUAACUUAAGAAACCUUUGACCCACAGUCUUCAUAUUUAGCAUGGAGGUUAGUCAUGAUAUGUAGAUGACCCCUAUUUAUUUUUAUUACACUGGGUCAAAGGUCAAGGUCACAGGGACCUUGACUUAAAAAACCUUGUCCGCCCAAUAACUUGAGAUUCCUUUGGCCCACAGUCUUCAUAUUUAGCAUGGAGGUUAGUCAUGAUUAGUAGAUGACUCCUAUUGAUUUUGAGGUCAAUGGGUCAAAGGUCAAGGUCACAGGGGCCUUGACUAAACAAACCUUGUCCGCCCAAUAACUUGAGAUUCCUUUGACCCACAGUCUACAUAUUUGGCAUGGAGGUUAGUCAUGAUUAGUAGAUGACCCUAUUGAUUUUGGGGUCACUGGGUCAAAGGUCAAAGUCACAGGGGCCUUGACUUUAAAAAGCUUGUCCACCCAAUAACUUGACAUUCCUUUGGCCCACAGUCUUCAUCUUUUCGUAUUUGGCAUGGAGGUUAGUCAUGAUUAGUAGAUGACCCCUAUUGUUUUUGAGGUCACUGGGUCAAAGGUCAAGGUCACAGGGAC